GGCCCUGUGGCCUAAUGGAUAAGGCGUCGGCCUCCUAAACCGAAGACUCAAGAUUCGAGUCCUUGCUGGGUCG
Molecule: non-coding RNA, 73 nt
Organism: Angiostrongylus costaricensis
Lineage: Eukaryota; Metazoa; Nematoda; Chromadorea; Rhabditida; Metastrongylidae
Source: Rfam